Molecule: ribosomal RNA, 774 nt
Filed under: Bacillus sp. ULT_45
Lineage: Bacteria; Bacillati; Bacillota; Bacilli; Caryophanales; Bacillaceae
Description: partial 16S ribosomal RNA
Rfam family: Bacterial small subunit ribosomal RNA
Source: RNAcentral
ACCACUUCGGUGGUUAGCGGCGGACGGGUGAGCUAACACGUGGGCAACCUGCCUGUAAGACUGGGAUAACACCGGGAAACCGGCUGCUAAUACCGGAUAAUCCUUUUCCUCUCAUGAGGAAAAGCUGAAAGUCGGUUUCRGCUGACACUUACAGAUGGGCCCGCGGCGCAUUAKCUAGUUGGUGAGGUAACGGCUCACCAAGGCGACRAUGCGUAGCCSACCUGANAGGGUGAUCGGCCACACUGGGACUGASACACGGCCCARACUCCUACGGGAGGCAGCAGUAGGGAAUCUUCCACAAUGGACGAAAGUCUGAUGGAGCAACGCCKCGUGAGCGAUGAAGGCCUUCWGGUCGUAAAGCUCUGUUGUUAGGGAAGAACAAGUACCGGAGUAACUGCCGGUACCUUGACGGUACCUAACCAGAAAGCCACGGCUAACUACGUGCCARCAKCCGCGGUAAUACGUAGGUGGCAAGCGUUGUCCGGAAUUAUUGGGCGUAAAGCGCGCGCAGGCGGUCCUUUAAGUCUGAUGUGAAAGCCCACGGCUCAACCGUGGAGGGUCAUUGGAAACUGGGGGACUUGAKUGCAGAAKAGGAAAGCGRAAUUCCACGUGUAGCKSUGAAAUGCGUAGAGAUGUGGAGGAACACCAGUGGCRAAGGCGGCUUUCUGGUCUGUAACUGACGCUGAGGCKCRAAAKCRUGGGGAGCAAACAGGAUUAGAUACCCUGGUAGUCCACGCCGUAAACGAUGAGUGCUAAGUGUUAGGGGGUUUCCGC